Molecule: ribosomal RNA, 429 nt
Filed under: Acidobacteriota bacterium
Lineage: Bacteria; Pseudomonadati; Acidobacteriota
Description: Acidobacteria bacterium partial 16S ribosomal RNA
Rfam family: Bacterial small subunit ribosomal RNA
Source: RNAcentral
UGGGGAAUUUUGGACAAUGGGGGAAACCCUGAUCCAGCCAUCCCGCGUGUGCGAUGAAGGCCUUCGGGUUGUAAAGCACUUUUGGCAGGAAAGAAACGUCAUGGGUUAAUACCCCGUGAAACUGACGGUACCUGCAGAAUAAGCACCGGCUAACUACGUGCCAGCAGCCGCGGUAAUACGUAGGGUGCAAGCGUUAAUCGGAAUUACUGGGCGUAAAGCGUGCGCAGGCGGUUCGGAAAGAAAGAUGUGAAAUCCCAGAGCUCAACUUUGGAACUGCAUUUUUAGCUACCGGGCUAGAGUGUGUCAGAGGGAGGUGGAAUUCCGCGUGUAGCAGUGGAAUGCGUAGAUAUGCGGAGGAACACCGAUGGCGAAGGCAGCCUCCUGGGAUAACACUGACGCUCAUGCACGAAAGCGUGGGGAGCAAACAGG